GGGCUUAUAGCUCAGCAGGUUAGAGCGCACGCCUGAUAAGCGUGAGGUCGCAAGUUCGAGUCUUGCUAAGCCCACCA
This 77-nucleotide transfer RNA is filed under the name Fusobacterium sp. Its description in RNAcentral is "tRNA-Ile(gat)". It matches the Rfam family "tRNA". From Rfam's summary of the family: Transfer RNA (tRNA) molecules are approximately 80 nucleotides in length. Their secondary structure includes four short double-helical elements and three loops (D, anti-codon, and T loops). Further hydrogen bonds mediate the characteristic L-shaped molecular structure. tRNAs have two regions of fundamental functional importance: the anti-codon, which is responsible for specific mRNA codon recognition, and the 3' end, to which the tRNAs corresponding amino acid is attached (by aminoacyl-tRNA synthetases). tRNAs cope with the degeneracy of the genetic code in two manners: having more than one tRNA (with a specific anti-codon) for a particular amino acid; and 'wobble' base-pairing, i.e. permitting non-standard base-pairing at the 3rd anti-codon position. RNAcentral also lists the same sequence under 3 other names. The record is from RNAcentral. Lineage: Bacteria; Fusobacteriati; Fusobacteriota; Fusobacteriia; Fusobacteriales; Fusobacteriaceae.